GUUGUCCGGAAUUAUUGGGCGUAAAGAGCUCGUAGGCGGCUUGUCACGUCGGGUGUGAAAGCCCGGGGCUUAACCCCGGGUCUGCAUUCGAUACGGGCUAGCUAGAGUGUGGUAGGGGAGAUCGGAAUUCCUGGUGUAGCGGUGAAAUGCGCAGAUAUCAGGAGGAACACCGGUGGCGAAGGCGGAUCUCUGGGCCAUUACUGACGCUGAGGAGCGAAAGCGUGGGGAGCGAACAGG
RNAcentral lists this ribosomal RNA (237 nucleotides) under uncultured bacterium. Its description in RNAcentral is "partial 16S ribosomal RNA". It matches the Rfam family "Bacterial small subunit ribosomal RNA", at positions 540 to 776 of the family's 1533-position model. The record is from RNAcentral.